RNAcentral lists this ribosomal RNA (1406 nucleotides) under Escherichia coli. RNAcentral's name for it is "partial 23S ribosomal RNA". It matches the Rfam family "Bacterial large subunit ribosomal RNA", at positions 1 to 1435 of the family's 2925-position model. The record is from RNAcentral. Lineage: Bacteria; Pseudomonadati; Pseudomonadota; Gammaproteobacteria; Enterobacterales; Enterobacteriaceae.
GGGUUGUGAGGUUAAGCGACUAAGCGUACACGGUGGAUGCCCUGGCAGUCAGAGGCGAUGAAGGACGUGCUAAUCUGCGAUAAGCGUCGGUAAGGUGAUAUGAACCGUUAUAACCGGCGAUUUCCGAAUGGGGAAACCCAGUGUGUUUCGACACACUAUCAUUAACUGAAUCCAUAGGUUAAUGAGGCGAACCGGGGGAACUGAAACAUCUAAGUACCCCGAGGAAAAGAAAUCAACCGAGAUUCCCCCAGUAGCGGCGAGCGAACGGGGAGGAGCCCAGAGCCUGAAUCAGUGUGUGUGUUAGUGGAAGCGUCUGGAAAGGCGCGCGAUACAGGGUGACAGCCCCGUACACAAAAAUGCACAUGCUGUGAGCUCGAUGAGUAGGGCGGGACACGUGGUAUCCUGUCUGAAUAUGGGGGGACCAUCCUCCAAGGCUAAAUACUCCUGACUGACCGAUAGUGAACCAGUACCGUGAGGGAAAGGCGAAAAGAACCCCGGCGAGGGGAGUGAAAAAGAACCUGAAACCGUGUACGUACAAGCAGUGGGAGCACAGAGCAAUCUGUGUGACUGCGUACCUUUUGUAUAAUGGGUCAGCGACUUAUAUUCUGUAGCAAGGUUAACCGAAUAGGGGAGCCGAAGGGAAACCGAGUCUUAACUGGGCGUUAAGUUGCAGGGUAUAGACCCGAAACCCGGUGAUCUAGCCAUGGGCAGGUUGAAGGUUGGGUAACACUAACUGGAGGACCGAACCGACUAAUGUUGAAAAAUUAGCGGAUGACUUGUGGCUGGGGGUGAAAGGCCAAUCAAACCGGGAGAUAGCUGGUUCUCCCCGAAAGCUAUUUAGGUAGCGCCUCGUGAAUUCAUCUCCGGGGGUAGAGCACUGUUUCGGCAAGGGGGUCAUCCCGACUUACCAACCCGAUGCAAACUGCGAAUACCGGAGAAUGUUAUCACGGGAGACACACGGCGGGUGCUAACGUCCGUCGUGAAGAGGGAAACAACCCAGACCGCCAGCUAAGGUCCCAAAGUCAUGGUUAAGUGGGAAACGAUGUGGGAAGGCCCAGACAGCCAGGAUGUUGGCUUAGAAGCAGCCAUCAUUUAAAGAAAGCGUAAUAGCUCACUGGUCGAGUCGGCCUGCGCGGAAGAUGUAACGGGGCUAAACCAUGCACCGAAGCUGCGGCAGCGACGCUGAUGCGUUGUUGGGUAGGGGAGCGUUCUGUAAGCCUGUGAAGGUGUGCUGUGAGGCAUGCUGGAGGUAUCAGAAGUGCGAAUGCUGACAUAAGUAACGAUAAAGCGGGUGAAAAGCCCGCUCGCCGGAAGACCAAGGGUUCCUGUCCAACGUUAAUCGGGGCAGGGUGAGUCGACCCCUAAGGCGAGGCCGAAAGGCGUAGUCGAUGGGAAACAGGUUAAUA